GUGGGGAAUCUUGCGCAAUGGGCGAAAGCCUGAUCUAGCCAUGCCGCGUGUGUGAAGAAGGUCUUCGGAUUGUAAAGCACUUUAAGUUGGGAGGAAGGGAAGUAAGUUAAUACCUUGCUGUUUUGACGUUACCGACAGAAUAAGCACCGGCUAACUUCGUGCCAGCAGCCGCGGUAAUACGAAGGGUGCAAGCGUUAAUCGGAAUUACUGGGCGUAAAGCGCGCGUAGGUGGUUUUGUAAGUUGGAGGUGAAAUCCCCGGGCUCAACCUGGGAACUGCCUACAAAACUGCAUGACUAGAGUACGAUAGAGGGUAGUGGAAUUUCCUGUGUAGCGGUGAAAUGCGUAGAUAUAGGAAGGAACACCAGUGGCGAAGGCGACUACCUGGACUGAUACUGACACUGAGGUGCGAAAGCGUGGGGAGCAAACAGGAUUAGAUACCCCAGUAGUCC
This 450-nucleotide ribosomal RNA is filed under the name uncultured bacterium. RNAcentral describes it as "partial 16S ribosomal RNA". It matches the Rfam family "Bacterial small subunit ribosomal RNA", at positions 354 to 796 of the family's 1533-position model. The record is from RNAcentral.